Molecule: long non-coding RNA, 1275 nt
Organism: Pyrus x bretschneideri (Chinese white pear)
Lineage: Eukaryota; Viridiplantae; Streptophyta; Magnoliopsida; Rosales; Rosaceae
Exons: 2
Source: RefSeq, a predicted model, not a curated record
GCGGAUAAUAGUGUGAUUAAAAAAUGCAGGCGCGUGCAUGAAGGCUAGUGAAUCAUAAACCAAACACAAUAGUUUGGGAUGUAGUUGGACGAGCGUGGGUGCUUGGUGGAUCAAGAAACUUCAUGGAUCUAGGAUACGCAACAGUCAACACGCAUACAAUAUAAGUUAGGAAUGAAGACUGUCGUAUCAGUUGGCUAUACCAAAAGAUUUUUUGGCAUCUGGAGGAUUAUUUUUCCAUAGAAAUUUCAAAAGAUGAUAAAGUUGAACUAAUCAAAUUUCAACAAGUUUGAAAAAUCAACUAUUUAUAUAUAUGAGGAUCCUGAUUGAUGUGUUAUGUUGAUUUGAAGAACGGUCUUGAAGUUAUGGAAUGAGACAAUUAUUUAAAAUUAACAAAAAAAAAUGUAUUAAUCAGAACUGGGUUGUCUAAAUGGUGGGGUACUCAUUGACACAUGACCUAAAAUAGAGGAAAAAUCAUACAGUUUACUUUUUAAGUCUUUACGGAACAAGAGUAGUAGGUUCCAAGUUGGAAAUAUUGCAAUUUUCAUCUUAAGAGGCUGUAAUGCCGGUUAUAAAAAAGGUCUUUCAUACGCGGAUAAUAGUGUGAUUAAAAAAUGCAGGCGCGUGCAUGAAGGCUAGUGAAUCAUAAACCAAACACAAUAGUUUGGGAUGUAGUUGGACGAGCGUGGGUGCUUGGUGGAUCAAGAAACUUCAUGGAUCUAGGAUACGCAACAGUCAACACGCAUACAAUAUAAGUUAGGAAUGAAGACUGUCGUAUCAGUUGGCUAUACCAAAUUCUUAAUUCCAAAACGGUAAAAUUACUAGUAUAUCCCGAUUGACACGUAUGAGUUACAUAGCGUUCGGUUCUUGAGCUGUCGUUAUCUCCUUUGGACAGCACUCCCGAAUUCUUAAUUCCACCUCUCUCGAUGAAAACACUACGACCAGAAAACCUCAUCAAGUUGACCGAAAAGAAAAAAUGUCUCUCCUCUCAACCUGUUAUUCCAUCUCUCUCGCAGCGGAAGUGAUAUUCGUUCAAGGAUCAAGUUGCAAAAGAACAUGGCAGAGAACAAACAUUGUCAAUUUGUUUGUUGAAGUAUUACGGUGGUGACGGAAAAUUCACAAUCGCAACUCAGUAACCAAAGCAAAAUGAGGAUCUUGUCUCACGGUUUACAACAGUUCAAUUUUAUCACUGUAUCUUUGAUCCCUGCAAAAACUAUUGGCAUGUAAACUCAACCUUCUGGAUCACAAAUCACAAUUCAUAGUCUUGUUUAUUAGCAA